UGGGGAUACAGCUCUGUUGGAAU
RNAcentral lists this non-coding RNA (23 nucleotides) under Xenopus laevis (African clawed frog). RNAcentral also lists the same sequence under 1 other name. Lineage: Eukaryota; Metazoa; Chordata; Amphibia; Anura; Pipidae. The record is from RNAcentral.